GUUCCGGGUAAACUGCCACCAGUGGCGGCCGAAGCACCGGGAAGAGCCACGCAGCCCCUCACGCUGCUGUAAUGGGCGCCAACAUCGCGAGCGAUUCCCAGGUCGUGAGCCCUCGGGCAUCCCGCAGCGUCGGGACAGCCGCAUCACUCAGAGCCAGCGGGGCGGACAAGACCUCAGCCCCGGCCCGCCUCGACCGUCCCCGAGCCCCGCUCUUCCCCGCUGGCCGGCUGCCCGCACAUCACUGACAGCAGUGCUCUGGCCCAAGUCCAGAAACGGGAUCUUCUCUUGGGCCGGUCACACACGGCCCCUGAUGCCUCCCCGCACCUCGUCCUUGUCCUGGAGGCCGCGGGACGCGCUGCCCUCUGGCGUGGCUUCGGUGCCACUAGGAAGAUCUCUGUUCUGCUUAAGAUCCCCGGAAGCCCGAGAAGCCGCAGGAAGCUGGAAGGAGAAGCGAGGGCCAAGGAAGGAGCAGGCGCGAACAGGAGACACAGCCCGAGCUGGGAUGUGACUGGAAAGACCCUACCGGUGAGAGAGCCCCAGGAGCACCGCGGGGUGACCUCAGCCAGUCUCCCCCCGGAGAGCCCGAAUUCCUCAGAGCGCCCUGGCCUGAGGCAGAAGAGCGUCAAUUCCAUUGCUUUCCUUGGCACAAACCACCUCUGACCCACAGGCUUUUAGAAGCUUCGCUGACCCCAGGGCUAGGCUGACAAAUGCGGCCCCAGAAUAAACAAAUCCAGCUUAGGGCGUCUUUGGCUUCACCUCCUCGAACAGACCCUUGAUUGGAAUCAACCUGCUCUCAGUCUUUAGAACAAAUCAGUGUUUUGUUUGUAGAGCUUCACUGUAUAUUUACUUUCAAUUCAAUUUUUAAAUAUUAAUG
Molecule: long non-coding RNA, 874 nt
Filed under: Heterocephalus glaber (naked mole-rat)
Lineage: Eukaryota; Metazoa; Chordata; Mammalia; Rodentia; Bathyergidae
Description: lncRNA (ENSHGLG00000048108.1)
Source: RNAcentral